RNAcentral lists this ribosomal RNA (275 nucleotides) under uncultured bacterium. Its description in RNAcentral is "partial 16S ribosomal RNA". It matches the Rfam family "Bacterial small subunit ribosomal RNA", at positions 523 to 796 of the family's 1533-position model. The record is from RNAcentral.
AUACGGAGGGUGCAAGCGUUAUCCGGAUUUAUUGGGUUUAAAGGGUGCGUAGGCGGCUCUUUAAGUCAGUGGUGAAAGCCUGGCGCUUAACGCCAGAAAUGCCAUUGAUACUGGAGAGCUUGAGUCAAGAAGAGGUAAGCAGAAUUCAUGGUGUAGCGGUGAAAUGCUUAGAUACCAUGAGGAAUUCCAAUAGCGAAGGCAGCUUACUGGUCUUUGACUGACGCUGAGGCACGAAAGCGUGGGGAGCGAACAGGAUUAGAAACCCUAGGUAGUCC